CCAUAUAGUAACUAAUAACACAUUAGCUUUUGAAAUUUGCUGUAUUGAUGUAUUAAUGUACUCAGGUGAAUAAGAUGCUUGUGUGAUAUACACUCAGAGUAACAUCACACAAGCACAUUAGCUUUUAUCAUCAUCACAGUCCACUGCCUUCAUCUACGUUACUGGGAUCUAUCCAUUGAACUAGAUCUACCUCACUGUUCUCACAAUUGCUGCAUUUGCAAAGUUUAGUGCACUUUAAUUUAAAUUUGCUUUAAAAAAUGAGCAUUUUGUUUGACAACCCUAUUUGCAUUUGUAGCUAACAAAUUACUGACCAGCUUGGCCCAUACCAUCUCGGCCCAAUAGUUAAUAACUACUGUUUGACAUAUUGGGGAACUAAGGAAGCUUAUUAAUAUUUUACAAAAGGCAGCAACAAACCGAUACAGCCAUUUGCAGUUGCAUUGGG
Molecule: non-coding RNA, 442 nt
Organism: Paramuricea clavata
Lineage: Eukaryota; Metazoa; Cnidaria; Anthozoa; Malacalcyonacea; Plexauridae
Source: the annotation of a GenBank genome assembly